Molecule: long non-coding RNA, 491 nt
Organism: Etheostoma spectabile (orangethroat darter)
Lineage: Eukaryota; Metazoa; Chordata; Actinopteri; Perciformes; Percidae
Exons: 3
Source: RefSeq, a predicted model, not a curated record
AUUUACCUCCAUUGUCCUGCAUUGCCCCAGUCUACUCCUUCUCUUCCUCCUCUCAGUCAUCUGUAAAGCCACCACCUCAUCUUAAAGCUCAGAGCCCCAAAAUUGCUCAAUUGUAUCAAUGAACAAAAAAAACAAGAACAGCAGGUACAGAAAUGUGGAAGACACCAACUUGCAUUUCCACUAGAAAUUGCUCCGAUGUUUUCUGAACAGCCAAUCAACAAGCCAUAAUAACCAUAAAUGCCAAUAUAGGUUCAAAUGGAGUUAAUGGAUGCAGGUGCCAGGUCUUUACGGAUGAGUGGGAGUGAAAACAAAUUCUUGUUUUGGCUUUAAGAUUGUAGUGGAUGGCAAAUGAGUUUGGGCCCAUUUUACGACAAGUAAAAAUGGAAACUCAAAGUGCAACAAAUUCACCACUAAGUCUGGACUUCUUUGGCUGUUACCUAAAAUAUUUUACAUCCAAUUUUGCAGUCACGUCUAUUUAGACUCUUGAUUAA